UUAUUGGAGAGUUUGAUCCUGGCUCAGGAUGAACGCUGGCGGCGUGCCUAAUACAUGCAAGUCGAGCGAA
Molecule: ribosomal RNA, 70 nt
Filed under: Bacillus anthracis (anthrax bacterium)
Lineage: Bacteria; Bacillati; Bacillota; Bacilli; Caryophanales; Bacillaceae
Also listed under: 23 other names
Description: partial 16S ribosomal RNA
Rfam family: Bacterial small subunit ribosomal RNA
Source: RNAcentral